Thioploca ingrica is the source of this 235-nucleotide non-coding RNA. It matches the Rfam family "HNH endonuclease-associated RNA and ORF (HEARO) RNA". The record is from Rfam. NCBI's taxonomy places the organism in Bacteria, Pseudomonadati, Pseudomonadota, Gammaproteobacteria, Thiotrichales, Thiotrichaceae.
GUCAACUACCCCGCCCUAAAGGGCGGAGCUUGAAAAAGCGAGGUUGACCAGACUAAGCCGCUAGUCAGAGUGGCUACGCCAUACCGGGGUCGUUAAGACUUACCAGCAGAUGCUUCCUGAGUCUGCUGCUCUAAAAGGCUUUAAUCAAGCUGGGGAGAAAGGUAAAGCCCCGCAGGUUUUAGUCGUUGCUGGUAACAGCAAGAGCCGCUGUGUGGCCUUGUCGAAGGGAGAUGGC